GUCCACGCCGUAAACGAUGAUUACUCGUUGUUGGGCCGUAAGGUUCAGUGACUAAGCGAAAGCAAUAAGUAAUCCACCUGGGGAGUACGUUCGCAAGAAUGAAACUCAAAGGAAUUGACGGGGGCCCCGCACAAGCGGUGGAGCAUGUGGUUUAAUUCGAUGAUACGCGAGGAACCUUACCAAGGCUUAAAUGGGAAUUGACAGGUUUGGAAACAGACUUUUCUUAGGACAAUUUUCAAGGUGCUGCAUGGUUGUCGU
This 258-nucleotide ribosomal RNA is filed under the name uncultured bacterium. RNAcentral describes it as "partial 16S ribosomal RNA". It matches the Rfam family "Bacterial small subunit ribosomal RNA", at positions 793 to 1055 of the family's 1533-position model. The record is from RNAcentral.